ACACUUUUAGCAAUUGGUAAAGCAACGGUCUCCAAAAUCGUCAGAUCUAUGUUCGAAUCGUAGAAGGUGUA
This 71-nucleotide transfer RNA is filed under the name Caudoviricetes sp. RNAcentral describes it as "tRNA-Trp". It matches the Rfam family "tRNA". Rfam says of the family: Transfer RNA (tRNA) molecules are approximately 80 nucleotides in length. The record is from RNAcentral. Lineage: Duplodnaviria; Heunggongvirae; Uroviricota; Caudoviricetes.